ACUAGACAAGUUGUUAUAACACAUAACAUUAAUCACUUAUUCACAGCUAAAUAUUAGCCAAAGUGAUCAACUAAAAACUCUCAUAUCAUAUUGCAUUAUCAACAUUAUGGUAAGCACUUAGUUUUAAAACUCACAACCAAAGUACCUAUACACAUAUGUACCUAUAUACAUGAGUUCAAAGAUUCAACUUCUAAAAACUUAUUUACAUUCAUUCACAACCAUAUAACAAAAGACUAACACCCAAAACAUCAUCAACCUAAGUACAUGCCAAAACAUAAAAGAAAACAUCACCAAUAUUGAGUUCGAGAUUAGUCAUUGGAUGCUAAGUUGUCGAACAAAAUUAAGUACCUAUCCUGCAUACAAAGAACAAUCAAAUUCAAAGUAAGCUUAUUAACCCAAAGAACCAAAAAUAAAAAUAAUGGCUUUGAUUUUAUAAUCUGUCACAUAUAUAUAUUCAUGAAAUUUACCAUACAAUUCAACUAGACAUUUCAUACAUCUUUUAUGAAAACUUCCGUAUAUCAGCCUUCUUGUUGGAUUAAUUAUACCUGAUCAUUAUGGGUCAAUCAGUAAAUGGCACCCACUACCUAACGGAUAAACCAUAACAAAGUUUGGGCAUUGCGCUAGUCGGAUAACCGACGAUAGAUGUGCCGAGCACUAGUGGAAUGAAUCGACAACAUUUUGCGCCCAGCGCUAGUUUGUUGAACCAACGAAGAUUAAAGUGUGCCUAGCAUUAGUCGAAUGAAUCGACAAAAGUAUGCGCCCAGCACUAGUUGGAUAAUCGACAAUAUCAAUUUCACUUGUGCAAGUCCAUAAUAUCACAUUUUUUAAAUUCAAUAUCGCAUUUCAUAAUUCAAUACCACCUUCACUUCAAUUAUCUACGAAAUUAUUCAUUGAUUCAUUCUAUAAUGCCACAUUUCAUAUAUAUAUAAUUUUAUCAAUAUCCAUUCAAUAGAAAUUUUCCAGUACACAAUUAAGAACAUAGUUAAAUGAUAAUUAACAAUUAACUAAUUAAAUUAAAUAAUUAACGUUCGAGUUCUAAGACCGCGAACCUACUAAAAUUACGAUCAUAGACGAUUACUUGGCAACCUUCUCUUUUCCAUGAUUAUCAAUUGAUCCUCUUGUUUCUCGAUCUAAAAAUUUAUAAAUUAGUUUAAUUAACUAACUCAUCCACCAAGAAUAUAUAUAAACACAAGAAUUCAACCCCUUUUUAAUCAAAUUUUACACAUUUGUAUUCAACACUUCUCUUGUACAAUUCGAUCCUACCUCAAACCUUAAUUUUUUAAUUUCCUUGAAUUAAUUACCAGCUAACCAAAUCUAUACUAUACCCGAGCAGUCCCUUAAUCAUCGAAAAUUCAAUUUUAUCCCUAUUUUUUUAAUUUUGUAACAUUUAACUCCUUAAAGAUAAGUUCUAGCAAAAAUCAUUACACAAAAAUUAGUUGAAUCACACCACAAAAAUCAUUAAUACAUUCAAUACUUCAAAGCAUCAACAGUCUAAAAAAAAUCAAUUCUUAAACAUGUCACCAUUUUUCAAUUUGACCCCUAAUUUAGCUUGGUCUAGCUUUAAGGGUCCUAAAACUACAAAAAAGAAAUAUCAAAGAUAAGAGCUAAAACACUUACAUGCAAGGAGCUCACUGUACCGAACCUUGCUCUCCUCUCUAAUGGUGUUAUUUAUUUUUUCUUACUUUCGGUAAAACCAAAACACUUG
This 1705-nucleotide long non-coding RNA is filed under the name Gossypium barbadense (sea-island cotton). Its description in RNAcentral is "long non-coding RNA (GBAR_LNC016975)". Lineage: Eukaryota; Viridiplantae; Streptophyta; Magnoliopsida; Malvales; Malvaceae. The record is from RNAcentral.